Molecule: unclassified non-coding RNA, 248 nt
Filed under: Hevea brasiliensis (rubber tree)
Lineage: Eukaryota; Viridiplantae; Streptophyta; Magnoliopsida; Malpighiales; Euphorbiaceae
Source: RNAcentral
GGGCACCCCAGGUGGCUAUCUUGAGUCAUGAUGCUGUAGGAGGCUUUGUGUCACACUGUGGGUGGAAUUCGACUUUAGAGAGCAUGUGGUUCGGAGUACCACUGGCAACUUGGCCAAUCUAUUCGGAGCAGCAAGCGAAUGCAUUUCAAUUGGUGAAGGAUUUAGAGAUAGCAGUGGAGAUUAAGAUGGAUUAUAGGAAGGAUCUCAGAGGGACCGAAUCGAAUGUUAUAGUAAAAGCAGAGGAGAUA